UAUCCUCCCGCGCUGGAUGGUCCCGCGGCGCGACAUGCGUGCGCGGGCUAAGAGGGAAUGCGAAGGGCCGACUUAAACCAAGGGCCCGGAUCGCAGCCGACCCCGCGACUGUAGAGCGGCGAGGUUUCUUCACCGGCGGUCUUUCCGCCGGAAACGCCACUGGGCCUCGCGGCCCGGGAAGGCAGGAGAGGACCCGUGACCCGCGAGCCAGGAGACCUGCCAUCCCUUGCGAAGGCGG
This 238-nucleotide non-coding RNA is filed under the name Aureimonas sp. AU20. The record is from RNAcentral. Lineage: Bacteria; Pseudomonadati; Pseudomonadota; Alphaproteobacteria; Hyphomicrobiales; Aurantimonadaceae. RNAcentral also lists the same sequence under 1 other name.